Molecule: non-coding RNA, 454 nt
Organism: Salvelinus sp. IW2-2015
Lineage: Eukaryota; Metazoa; Chordata; Actinopteri; Salmoniformes; Salmonidae
Source: RefSeq, a predicted model, not a curated record
UCUAUAUGCCGCUGUUCGACAUCAUUAUCCACAGGACCCCUGUUCGGCCAGGGUCGCUCUGGAGGGGAGUGAAGCGGAGAAACCCAUUUCUAGAUCGAGAACACCUUAGCAGCAGCCCAGCUAAGAAGAAGGUCUUUAUUUACACUGAUGACGACGCCGACUCUUCGGAUUAUGUGAAGCCGGGCGGCUCUGCAGGAGUGGAGGGAGAGAAGUCAACAACAAGAACGCUGCCAUUUAGUGAACGACUUCUCCAGGCAGAAGAACUAAGCAAAGACUGCCCGGCAAGAAACCAACUUCUCUGUCUGAAGACGACUCACUGUUUGAAGAUGAGGAUUUGUUCCAGGAGGAGAGAACACCCAUACUGAAGAGUCCCCAGGCUGGUGCAGUAACCUCCAUAGGCCCCCUGCGUGUGUGGAGUACCCUGCAGACUGGAGCUGAAGACGGUCUCCUUUUC